UCCGCGGUAGCUAAGUGGCCGAAGGCGGCGAGCUUAAGACUCGCUACGUAGGUAUUCGAGGGUUCGAAUCCCUCCCGCGGUA
This is a transfer RNA of Halorientalis sp. IM1011, 82 nucleotides long. It matches the Rfam family "tRNA". From Rfam's summary of the family: Transfer RNA (tRNA) molecules are approximately 80 nucleotides in length. Lineage: Archaea; Methanobacteriati; Methanobacteriota; Halobacteria; Halobacteriales; Haloarculaceae. The record is from Rfam.